This is a long non-coding RNA of Lytechinus pictus (painted urchin), 1844 nucleotides long. RefSeq lists it as uncharacterized. The transcript has 4 exons. The record is from RefSeq and is a predicted model, not a curated record. Lineage: Eukaryota; Metazoa; Echinodermata; Echinoidea; Temnopleuroida; Toxopneustidae.
AAGGAGGACUUGAUCUUGCAAUUCUUGGUCUGAUAACCAACAUGGAGGAAGCCCUUAUCCUAGAAGUGUAGGAAAAUCCAUUCCUGUAUGACAAGAGAUUGGAGCUGUUCAAGGAUACAGAAGUAAAAAAAUGAUGUAUGACAUGACAUUGGGCGUCAGCUUGUAAUCUCAGGUGACGUAGCGAGUUGAGGGACAACUUCCUAAAAAACGACAGAAAUGGAGAGGAAGAGUGGUGACGGAGCUCCCUCAAAUGCAGCACGUAAAUACAAGUACAGUGAGGCAAUGGAAUUCCUACUUCCCCACAUACAUAAUCGAGACAGAACAAGUUCAAUCUUGGAUCCUGUGUUUGAUGUGGACACACCAGGAGAAGCCUGUACCAAGCAGGAAGAAACUGAGCAGGAGAAUGGUGGGUGACAUCUGUCCACAACGUGGGUCAGUCUUCCUCGUCAUCAUCCUCAGGCACGUCCGCAACAUCAGUCCAGUCUUCAAGUCCCAACUUCACUUCAAAUCGAGGACACAAUGUUGCAGUAUUUUCAAAGCACUGAUAGUCAUGGUGACAACAUAACUGUAGAUAAAUUUUUCUCCAGCUUGUCCCCCAUUGUCCCACACUGUAAAAGUUACCUCAAUGCCAGCUCCAUUGCUAUGAGGUUAAAUUUCGGUCGUCUGAACAUUGAACAUACUACUAUAGGAAUUAAAGUUUUUGUGUCAUCUAACUCCAAGUCGAUUCUUAUUGAUGUUAUAAACAUCUCACAAUUUAAGAAUCCAAAUAUGUUUCGUAGAUUAAAAAAAAAGUUAACGGAAAAUGCUCUAACUUGCUAUGCUCCACCGCUAAAAAGAGAGCUGAUAUCUUAUUCCCUCUGACCAUGGAGCUAAUAGCUCUAUGCUCUGACAUCACUCAAUACUCUUUCGAUUGUAACAUAAAAGAUGCAAUGUCAGACAUGCAGCAUCACCAACAAAUUAAAAGCGGUGUAUAUAUGAUUACAUCUGAAUUACUUAUGAUAAAUCCAUAUGAAAUAAAUCAUUUGCAGGAAAUCUACAACUUUAAUGACUGAUAUCGUAUUAUAAACAACGACACCAUUAAAUGUGUUAUUCUAAUUUCCACUUGAAUUUUUCACUUUGACAUCUCCAUAGGCAGCGGAAGCGGGGACAGGUCCCCCCCCCCCUAAAUUUUUAGUUGAUAACCUUUUUUUUAUUUUUUGGCUUCCACCGCCAAUGUACAUCUCCCAUUGUUACAGUUGCAAGUCAGUCUCAAUUUGCAGAAAUUACGAUUGUGAAGGAUUAUGAUCUUCCUCUUUUGUAGAUCUGGAAAAUAUCGUCUGAGCAUGUUCACCAUUUAUUAAAAAUAUAUUUAUUUCUUAAAUUAUACUUGAAUUUAAAUUCAGGAUUUGUUCACAAAUAAGAGAAGUUGAGCAUUUUGCACAUCACAGAAAUUUGGUUCAUGCAAAUACAUGUAUUAACAUGAUCACUAGUAAUGCACUAUCAAAUAUCAAUACAUGAAACCAGUUACUGUGAAAAUAAAAAUGAUGGGUACUGGACGGAACGUUUCUGGACUAAUGUUUUAUUUUGGAAACAGAGAUAUAGGAUUGUUUGAAAUAUGACAAAAUGUUAGAAACAAAAUUUCAUCUCUAAACAGAAUGGCAAUGACACUCCUGUUGCCUGUUUCAUAGAGAGGUACAACUAUCAUAACUUUGUCUUUAAUAUGGCGCAACAUCCAAUUAUAAUUGUGGUUUCCAUGGUAGUUGCCAUAAUGUUAAAGUACUUUUGAAAUGGGCCCCUGGACAUGAAGAAUACUGACAAAAGAAAGUUGAUUGUGAAAUAAAAAGAAUACAUUCAUCUUCAAGAAA